UACGUAGGCAGCGAGCGUUGUUCGGAGUUACUGGGCGUAAAGAGUGCGUAGGUGGUUUUCUAAGUUUGGUGUGAAAUUUCCCGGCUUAACUGGGAGGGUGCGCCGAAAACUGGGAGACUUGAGUGUGGGAGAGGAAAGCGGAAUUCCUGGUGUAGCGGUGAAAUGCGUAGAUAUCAGGAGGAACACCUGCGGUGUAGACGGCUUUCUGGACCACUACUGACACUGAGGCACGAAAGCGUGGGUAG
RNAcentral lists this ribosomal RNA (245 nucleotides) under uncultured bacterium. RNAcentral's name for it is "partial 16S ribosomal RNA". It matches the Rfam family "Bacterial small subunit ribosomal RNA", at positions 524 to 768 of the family's 1533-position model. The record is from RNAcentral.